RNAcentral lists this ribosomal RNA (497 nucleotides) under uncultured bacterium. Its description in RNAcentral is "partial 16S ribosomal RNA". It matches the Rfam family "Bacterial small subunit ribosomal RNA", at positions 28 to 507 of the family's 1533-position model. The record is from RNAcentral.
GAUGAACGCUGGCGGCGUGCCUAAUACAUGCAAGUCGAGCGAACAGACGAUGAUCUUGCUCCUCUGACGUUAGCGGCGGACGGGUGAGUAACACGUGUAUAACCUACCUAUAAGACUGGGAUAACUUCGGAAAACCGGAUCUAAUACCGUAUAAUAUAUUGAACCGCAUGGUUCAAUAGUGAAAGACGGUUUUGCUGUCACUUAUAGAUGGAUCCCGGCGGCAUUAGCUAGUUGGUAAGGUAACGGCUUACCAAGGCAACGAUGCGUAGCCGACCGGAGGGGGUGAUAGCCCACCUUGGAACUUGGCCACGGUCAAGAGGACUACGGGAGGGAGCAGUCGGGAACCUGCCGCAACGGGCGAAAGCAUGACGGAGCAACGCGGAGUGAGUGAUGAAGGUCUUCGGAUCGUAAAAACCUGUUAUUAGGGAAGAACAAAUGUGUAAGUAACUAUGCCCGUAUUGACGGUAACUAAUAAGAAAGCCACGGCUAACUACGUG